GCGGGGGGGCGUGCUAUACAUGCAAGUCGAACGAGUUCUGAUUAUUGAAAGGUGCUUGCAUCUUGAUUUAAUUUUGAACGAGUGGCGGACGGGUGAGUAACACGUGGGUAACCUGCCCUUAAGUGGGGGAUAACAUUUGGAAACAGAUGCUAAUACCGCAUAAAUCCAAGAACCGCAUGGUUCUUGGCUGAAAGAUGGCGUAAGCUAUCGCUUUUGGAUGGACCCGCGGCGUAUUAGCUAGUUGGUGAGGUAACGGCUCACCAAGGCAAUGAUACGUAGCCGAACUGAGAGGUUGAUCGGCCACAUUGGGACUGAGACACGGCCCAAACUCCUACGGGAGGCAGCAGUAGGGAAUCUUCCACAAUGGACGCAAGUCUGAUGGAGCAACGCCGCGUGAGUGAAGAAGGCUUUCGGGUCGUAAAACUCUGUUGUUGGAGAAGAAUGGUCGGCAGAGUAACUGUUGUCGGCGUGACGGUAUCCAACCAGAAAGCCACGGCUAACUACGUGCCAGCAGCCGCGGUAAUACGUAGGUGGCAAGCGUUAUCCGGAUUUAUUGGGCGUAAAGCGAGCGCAGGCGGUUUUUUAAGUCUGAUGUGAAAGCCCUCGGCUUAACCGAGGAAGUGCAUCGGAAACUGGGAAACUUGAGUGCAGAAGAGGACAGUGGAACUCCAUGUGUAGCGGUGAAAUGCGUAGAUAUAUGGAAGAACACCAGUGGCGAAGGCGGCUGUCUGGUCUGUAACUGACGCUGAGGCUCGAAAGCAUGGGUAGCGAACAGGAUUAGAUACCCUGGUAGUCCAUGCCGUAAACGAUGAAUGCUAGGUGUUGGAGGGUUUCCGCCCUUCAGUGCCGCAGCUAACGCAUUAAGCAUUCCGCCUGGGGAGUACGACCGCAAGGUUGAAACUCAAAGGAAUUGACGGGGGCCCGCACAAGCGGUGGAGCAUGUGGUUUAAUUCGAAGCAACGCGAAGAACCUUACCAGGUCUUGACAUCUUUUGAUCACCUGAGAGAUCAGGUUUCCCCUUCGGGGGCAAAAUGACAGGUGGUGCAUGGUUGUCGUCAGCUCGUGUCGUGAGAUGUUGGGUUAAGUCCCGCAACGAGCGCAACCCUUAUGACUAGUUGCCAGCAUUUAGUUGGGCACUCUAGUAAGACUGCCGGUGACAAACCGGAGGAAGGUGGGGAUGACGUCAAAUCAUCAUGCCCCUUAUGACCUGGGCUACACACGUGCUACAAUGGAUGGUACAACGAGUUGCGAGACCGCGAGGUCAAGCUAAUCUCUUAAAGCCAUUCUCAGUUCGGACUGUAGGCUGCAACUCGCCUACACGAAGUCGGAAUCGCUAGUAAUCGCGGAUCAGCACGCCGCGGUGAAUACGUUCCCGGGCCUUGUACACACCGCCCGUCACACCAUGAGAGUUUGUAACACCCGAAGCCGGUGGCGUAACCCUUUUAGGGAGCGAGCCGUCUAAGGUGAACAAAA
RNAcentral lists this ribosomal RNA (1473 nucleotides) under Lacticaseibacillus rhamnosus. RNAcentral describes it as "bacterial SSU rRNA". It matches the Rfam family "Bacterial small subunit ribosomal RNA". Lineage: Bacteria; Bacillati; Bacillota; Bacilli; Lactobacillales; Lactobacillaceae. The record is from RNAcentral.